Molecule: long non-coding RNA, 499 nt
Organism: Dermacentor albipictus
Lineage: Eukaryota; Metazoa; Arthropoda; Arachnida; Ixodida; Ixodidae
Source: RefSeq, a predicted model, not a curated record
UUCAAAUCAAAUCAAGGCAUGUUUUUUUGCUUGGCGACAGUUUUAUGCGUUGAAAAUGUCCGACGCAACGCAAAAAGUGAAACCACACGAGCAACGGUACAGUUUCUCGACCGCACGGAAAUAAGUGUUUGUUCGAAAUCCAACUAGACGAAGACACACUGCAAAGAAGCGCCUCCCGGUAUUUACACACUCUGAAGGCCAGACUUGUUGCAGCACAGGUAACGGUGGAGGUAACCGUUGUUUUCCAGCCAGGUCUUCUAGUAUGUGGUACGCCCACGGCUAAGUACGGAAAAGGGCACACGCGGGCGCAAUUGAAUCUGAGCAGUACGGUGGCACGGUAGCGCAGAUAUGACUACAGACGCUCCCCUAUACCGCUCGGCUUCAAGACGGAUAUGUUUUUGUUUUUUUUUCGAAAGGGCAUUGUGCUAGUCAUGCCAGUCAUGCCUGCUAUACGACCAGCACCCACGUCAUGCAGAUCUGCUUAGAAUUUGUAGGACUA